Camelus ferus (Wild Bactrian camel) is the source of this 72-nucleotide transfer RNA. It matches the Rfam family "tRNA". From Rfam's summary of the family: Transfer RNA (tRNA) molecules are approximately 80 nucleotides in length. Their secondary structure includes four short double-helical elements and three loops (D, anti-codon, and T loops). Further hydrogen bonds mediate the characteristic L-shaped molecular structure. tRNAs have two regions of fundamental functional importance: the anti-codon, which is responsible for specific mRNA codon recognition, and the 3' end, to which the tRNAs corresponding amino acid is attached (by aminoacyl-tRNA synthetases). tRNAs cope with the degeneracy of the genetic code in two manners: having more than one tRNA (with a specific anti-codon) for a particular amino acid; and 'wobble' base-pairing, i.e. permitting non-standard base-pairing at the 3rd anti-codon position. Lineage: Eukaryota; Metazoa; Chordata; Mammalia; Artiodactyla; Camelidae. The record is from Rfam.
GAGGGUAUAGCUCAGUGGUGGAACACGUGUUUUGCAUGCACAAGGUCCUGGGUUUAUUCCCCAGUACCUCCA